CCUACGGGGGGCAGCAGUGGGGAAUAUUGGACAAUGGGGGGAACCCUGAUCCAGCCAUGCCGCGUGUGUGAAGAAGGCCCUCGGGUUGUAAAGCACUUUCAGUGAGGAAGAACGCCUGGUGGUUAAUACCCAUCAGGAAAGACAUCACUCACAGAAGAAGCACCGGCUAACUCCGUGCCAGCAGCCGCGGUAAUACGGAGGGUGCGAGCGUUAAUCGGAAUUACUGGGCGUAAAGCGCGCGUAGGUGGCUUGAUAAGCCGGUUGUGAAAGCCCCGGGCUCCAACUGGGAACGGCAUCCGGAACUGUCAAGCUAGAGUGCAGGAGAGGAAGGUAGAAUUCCCGGUGUAGCGGUGAAAUGCGUAGAGAUCGGGAGGAAUACCAGUGGCGAAGGCGGCCUUCUGGACUGACACUGACACUGAGGUGCGAAAGCGUGGGUAGCAAACAGGAUUAGAUACCCUGGUAGUC
RNAcentral lists this ribosomal RNA (465 nucleotides) under Vreelandella stevensii. RNAcentral describes it as "partial 16S ribosomal RNA". It matches the Rfam family "Bacterial small subunit ribosomal RNA", at positions 338 to 795 of the family's 1533-position model. Lineage: Bacteria; Pseudomonadati; Pseudomonadota; Gammaproteobacteria; Oceanospirillales; Halomonadaceae. The record is from RNAcentral.